UACGAAGGGGGCUAGCGUUGUUCGGAAUCACUGGGCGUAAAGCGCACGUAGGCGGAUCUUUAAGUCAGGGGUGAAAUCCUGGAGCUCAACUCCAGAGCUGCCUUUGAUACUGAGAAGCUUGAGUCCGGGAGAGGUGAGUGGAACUGCGAGUGUAGAGGUGAAAUUCGUAGAUAUUGGGAAGAACACCGGUGGCGAAGGCGGCUAUCUGGACCGACAUUGACGCUGAUGCGCGAAAGCGUGGGGAGCAAACAGG
Molecule: ribosomal RNA, 253 nt
Filed under: uncultured bacterium
Lineage: Bacteria
Description: partial 16S ribosomal RNA
Rfam family: Bacterial small subunit ribosomal RNA
Source: RNAcentral